This 152-nucleotide unclassified non-coding RNA is filed under the name uncultured Ascomycota. RNAcentral describes it as "sequence contains ITS2". The record is from RNAcentral. Lineage: Eukaryota; Fungi; Ascomycota.
UCAACCAUCAAGCCCUGCUUGGUAUUGGGUGUCGUCCCCUGGACGUGCCUUAAACGCUUCGGCGGCGGUUUCAAACCUCAAGCGUAGUAGAAUCUUUUAUUUAGCUUUCUAGGUUUGUGGCCGCUUCGCCUCGAGAAACCAAAUAACCUCAA